RNAcentral lists this unclassified non-coding RNA (201 nucleotides) under Hevea brasiliensis (rubber tree). Lineage: Eukaryota; Viridiplantae; Streptophyta; Magnoliopsida; Malpighiales; Euphorbiaceae. The record is from RNAcentral.
AGAGAGAGAGAGAGAGAGAUUCUGGUGCUCCAAAAUUUUCUCGAUCACAUUUUCUCGGGAAUCUGCUGAUCCAAUCAAGCGAAGAUUCUAAGAAUUAGUGAAUAAAAAUUUCUUAAAACUUGAGAGCAAUGUGUUUUAUUGCCUUUCUUUUUCCACUCCAAAUUUGACUAAUCAACUACCUCAAGGAUUUACGUCUUUCCA